Dioscorea cayenensis subsp. rotundata (Guinea yam) is the source of this 822-nucleotide long non-coding RNA. RefSeq lists it as uncharacterized. The record is from RefSeq and is a predicted model, not a curated record. NCBI's taxonomy places the organism in Eukaryota, Viridiplantae, Streptophyta, Magnoliopsida, Dioscoreales, Dioscoreaceae. The transcript has 3 exons.
AAAGUAUGCAGGACUAAGCACUGACACAACAACCACAAUAUAUUACUAUCAGGAAUGAGCGUGGAAGGGAAAUGUUCAGUUUAGUAGAUAACAUUUAGAGAUCACUCCCACAACCAGCAGUGUAUGUGAUAUAACUUUUAUAUUAACUGUGAGAACCGCUUGACACUUGGCAUACUUCUCAUGAUGUCUCAGGGUAACAGGCAACCAUUUGUUAUGGAGACAGUCAAAGCUGAGAAUAUAGCAAAGGCUGGUAAAAUAACUGUCCUAUGAUACUCUUUUUGUGAAUUCAGUGAAUAUUUAUUUUUUCAUGUUGCUGCUACAUUGGCAAUGGUUUCAUUGCCAUUUUCUACAUGGAGUAUGAACUGGUCAGUUUGACAUGCCAUCUCUGCGAACUACUGCUGUUUCAGGGACAGGUCCUUCUCUGCCAGCUCCUAGGUUUAUUGGCAAGUUAAUAGUAAAAAUAUACUAUUAAGAACAAUGUAACCUCAUGACCAUACAUAGACACAUGAUCUUAAUAGUAAAAAUACAUCUUCAUUAACUUCUUGACUUUUCAGAGAGAAAGAUCUGGGAAUUGAGCAGAAGCUCUGAAUUUAGAGUUUUGCAGUUUUGAUCCCAUCCAAGGCAUGAAGUAAAAGCUGAAGGAAUGUAGUGGAAUUUUUUUUUUAAUUUUUAAUUUGCUUGUGUAUAUAAUCCUAGAUUUUUUAAAUCGGUAUCCAUAUCUCUCUAGUAUAUUGUGAGACAAUAAUGUAAUAGAAGCAUUUCUUUUACUGCAGGGUGUUUAGAAAAAAUUGAAACAUAUAUAUUUUUUUAAAGCAGUGGAAA